AAAAAAAGAAAGAAAAGAAAAGAAGAUAGAAAAGAAAAAAAUUCUCUUUUAAAGAGAUUUUUAAAUAAUAAGAAAAUCUUAUGUAUCUAACCACGUACCUUUCCAUUUAGUAUGAUUUUCUUUUGAUCUGAAGGACAUACAUUAUGAAUUCUUUCACCCUCAUUAUGAAUUCUUUCACCUUGAAAUAGCUUCAUUUGUGAAAGAUACUUUUGCUGGGAAAGAAUUCUAAAUUUACAGCAUUUUCCUUUCAGUCCUUCAAACACGUUGCUGAUCAGUGUUCUCAUUUGCUUUGUCUCCAAUACAAAAGCUGCUGUCAUCUUUAUGAUUUUUCCCAUGAAGUAUUUUCUUCUUCCUCUGCUGCUUUUCACAUUCUUUUCUCUGGUGAACAAAUACAGGUUAUUUCAGCCCUCAAUAAAAUUUAGCAAAAAGUCUUUGGGAGAACUGGCUGGUGGGUUUUUUGUUUGUUGGUUGAUUUUUCAUAAAUUCUUAAAAGCAGAUGUUUGUCUCUCACUUAAUUGAUUCUCAUGUAAAUUUUCUUAGAAUAUUUUUGACCUGGGAAAUUUUGUAAUUAACUUUAUAUGUCAACUUGGCUGGGCCAUAGUGCCCAGAUAUUUGUUAAAACAUUGUACUGGAUGUUUACCAGAGGGUGUUUUAUGGAUGAGAUUAACAAUUAAUUUGUAGUUUGAGUAAAGCAGAAUGCUCUCCUCAUUAUUACUGGAUUUCAUUCAAUAGUUCAAACCUUGACUAGAACAGAACACCUGAACAACAGUGUCUGGAGAGCUUCCAUAUUGCUGAUCCACGUGCUGUGAGGGUGAUGUACCCCAAAUUCAUAGGACCAAAGGCUUCUGCACUUGGACCACUUCUAGAUCUUAUCUGUAUACCUCUACCUCUGGCUGCUUGUUUGUGCCCUUUAUAAACUGUAAUAAUAAACGGCCUUUACCUCGGUUCUGUUAGGUUUUCUAUGAAAUUAUCAACACUUAGGAAAGAGGCUACAGAAACCUCCAACAUUAUACCAGGUAAAAGAGAAGUGUAGGUAACCUAGGGUCUCCAUGCUUGCUCUGGCAUGUUAAAUGAGGGAAGCCUUGUG
RNAcentral lists this long non-coding RNA (1087 nucleotides) under Marmota monax (woodchuck). Lineage: Eukaryota; Metazoa; Chordata; Mammalia; Rodentia; Sciuridae. The record is from RNAcentral.